UUAUCUGCAAAGGGCUGUAACUUAUCUUUGAAAGAUAUUUUACAAGUUGUACCUAAUGUAUGUAUACUAUUGUUAAUACCGAUUAAGUUUAUUUUUUAUAAGUACAAAAGUGAACGCCGUAUCAUGUUUGAUGCUUUGUUAAGUGUUGAAUUAUUUAAAGUAUUAUUUUUUAUGUAAAAUUGAAAUAAAAAUAGAUGUAUAUA
Molecule: long non-coding RNA, 203 nt
Organism: Cydia amplana
Lineage: Eukaryota; Metazoa; Arthropoda; Insecta; Lepidoptera; Tortricidae
Exons: 2
Source: RefSeq, a predicted model, not a curated record